RNAcentral lists this ribosomal RNA (549 nucleotides) under uncultured Clostridium sp. RNAcentral describes it as "bacterial SSU rRNA". It matches the Rfam family "Bacterial small subunit ribosomal RNA", at positions 394 to 966 of the family's 1533-position model. The record is from RNAcentral. Lineage: Bacteria; Bacillati; Bacillota; Clostridia; Eubacteriales; Clostridiaceae.
ACGCCGCGUGAGUGAUGACGGCCUUCGGGUUGUAAAGCUCUGUCUUCAGGGACGAUAAUGACGGUACCUGAGGAGGAAGCCACGGCUAACUACGUGCCAGCAGCCGCGGUAAUACGUAGGUGGCGAGCGUUGUCCGGAUUUACUGGGCGUAAAGGGAGCGUAGGCGGAUUUUUAAGUGAGAUGUGAAAUACCCGGGCUCAACUUGGGUGCUGCAUUUCAAACUGGAAGUCUAAAGUGCAGGAAAGGAGAAUGGAAUUCCUAGUGUAGCGGGGAAAUGCGUAAAGAUUAGGAAAAACACCAUUGGCAAAGGCGAUUCUCUGGACUGUAACUGACGCUGAGGCUCGAAAGCGUGGGGAGCAAACAGGAUUAAUACCCGGGUAGUCCCGCCGUAAACGAUGAAUACUAGGUGUAGGGGUUGUCAUGACCUCUGUGCCGCCGCUAACGCAUUAAGUAUUCCGCCUGGGGAGUACGGUCCGCAGAUUAAAACUCAAGGAAUUGGGCGGGGAAAGGGUAAAGAAAGGGGAAAAAGGUUGGUUUAAAAAGGAAUUG